UGGGGAAUAUUGCACAAUGGGCGAAAGCCUGAUGCAGCGACGCCGCGUGAGGGAUGACGGCCUUCGGGUUGUAAACCUCUUUCAGCAGGGAAGAAGCGAAAGUGACGGUACCUGCAGAAGAAGCGCCGGCUAACUACGUGCCAGCAGCCGCGGUAAUACGUAGGGCGCAAGCGUUGUCCGGAAUUAUUGGGCGUAAAGAGCUCGUAGGCGGUUAGUCGCGUCUGCUGUGAAAACUCGAGGCUCAACCUCGGGCUUGCAGUGGGUACGGGCUGACUAGAGUGCGGUAGGGGUGACUGGAAUUCCUGGUGUAGCGGUGGAAUGCGCAGAUAUCAGGAGGAACACCGAUGGCGAAGGCAGGUCACUGGGCCGCAACUGACGCUGAGGAGCGAAAGCAUGGGGAGCGAACAGGAUUAGAUACCCUGGUAGUCCAUGCCGUAAACGUUGGGCACUAGGUGUGGGUCCAUUCCACGGAUUCCGUGCCGCAGCAAAGCGCACUAAGUGCCCCGCCUGGGGAGUACGGCCGCAAGGCU
Molecule: ribosomal RNA, 530 nt
Filed under: uncultured bacterium
Lineage: Bacteria
Description: partial 16S ribosomal RNA
Rfam family: Bacterial small subunit ribosomal RNA
Source: RNAcentral